AUAGUGAAAUUCUCAAGUGAGACUUGGGGAGUGGACGUAGGAGCAAGGGUUAGCUCCGAACCACUAUAAAACUUUGUGUUUGUGAUUGAUUGUCUCUCUUCUUCUUUCUCUCUUAUCACUCACAGCACAUAGCAGUUAAUUAAACAACUUGCAAUAGUUUUAAUUAGUCAUCCGCAACGCUUUAAAUAUCUAAAUUAUUUUAA
RNAcentral lists this long non-coding RNA (203 nucleotides) under Phoenix dactylifera (date palm). Its description in RNAcentral is "long non-coding RNA (PDAC_LNC010719)". Lineage: Eukaryota; Viridiplantae; Streptophyta; Magnoliopsida; Arecales; Arecaceae. The record is from RNAcentral.